CCACACUUGACCAAAAUUCAAUUUUUGGACUCCUUUCAUCGACCAACACCACUCUGGCAUUUCUCUCAGCGCUCUCAUUCUCUCUCUCUCUCAGCCCGCUCAAAAUUUUUGCCCAAAACUUAAAUUUCCCACCCAUCGUUUUAAUUUUGAUCUCUCACUCUUUAACGGAUGUCUCUCUCUCUCUCUCUCUCUCUCUCUCUCUCUCUCUCUCGGGUUUCUUUCAGAUCUGAGAUGAACCCAAAACCCUCAAACUCUCGCUGCUUCAAUGUUUGUUUCAGAGCUGGGGUGUAUUGAAUUUCAAAGCCAAAAAUGGGAAGAGAGGCUCCAUAGCAAACGUCGCAGCAGCAAGUGUCGUUCACGGUGGAGCAAUUGGUCGCGGUCAAUCGCUAGAACCCUGAUAUCCUCCCCGAUUUCGAAAGCUACGUCAACGGGCAAGUCUUGUUUCUUUUUUAUUCGAUUCGUUUUAAUUGAUUGAAUUUGUGGAUGAUUGAUUGAAUUAGAGUGAAUUCUUUUCUGGAUUUUUAGGUUUCGUCAUAGACCUUUUUCGUCUCUAUUGGAAUAUUUUUGGACUGUUGGUUUCCCCAGGAUCUCUAUAUAUACACACAUAACAUCAGUUUUAAUGGGUUUUCAAUCUUUAUAUGUGGGUGUUGAUUAUUUCAGGAAUUGAAGUGAUAUGGUUUUACUACGAUCUCAUCUUGGAAUGUACUCAGAGAAAGAAUUCUGUGGUAACUGGGAGUGAAGCUGUAGAUGAGAUAUGCAAGUUACCCUCGAAAGGGUAAGAAUUCUGUUAAUUAUGUACAGCAAAGUUUCUUCUGAAUACUAGAUUUUGUAUGACUGAAUGCGUUGAGCUUUUGGUGCAUUAUGGACCUAACUAUCAAGAUUUGUCUAAUACUAAAUGGACUUCACAAUUAAUUGCAUAUUAUAUUGUCAACAUUAACAAACAACAAGACCUGAUCAAUCUUUUGGGAGCUACCUAUGCUGUUGUUCUUUUCCUUGCAGCUAGCAAUGCCUCUGCUGUGCAAUUUGUUGUGGCGGUUCAGUAGCAUGAAUGUACUCAGAGUUUCCUUACGCAUUUGCUCGGGUGGCUAUUGAAUUUUAAGAACAAGGCAUUGUUAGAGAGGAAAAGGGAGCUGCUUGUCAUAGAGGAAAAACGAGCACUCCAUGCAGUGAAGGCUUUCCCCAAAGAUGACCCAUCUAAGCCCUGGAAGCUGACUGCUUCCCAUAUAUGGAACUAUUGUUACAUUUAUACAAGUCCAAAUGUUGUUCAUCGUAGUUUUAUAGCUUUCUUUCGAUGCUAUUGCAUCGCCUCAUGUACUCCUUAAUUUCAUUUAAUAAAGAUUGUUGUU
This is a long non-coding RNA of Rosa rugosa (rugosa rose), 1346 nucleotides long. RefSeq lists it as uncharacterized. NCBI's taxonomy places the organism in Eukaryota, Viridiplantae, Streptophyta, Magnoliopsida, Rosales, Rosaceae. The record is from RefSeq and is a predicted model, not a curated record. The transcript has 3 exons.